Molecule: long non-coding RNA, 652 nt
Filed under: Setaria italica (foxtail millet)
Lineage: Eukaryota; Viridiplantae; Streptophyta; Magnoliopsida; Poales; Poaceae
Description: long non-coding RNA (SITA_LNC001838)
Source: RNAcentral
AUGCACAAUCGACGUCGUGUCACUGUCCAUUCCCGGCCGGUUGCAUAAAGAAACCAACCAAGAAUCUCAAGUCUCUGAACAUAAACUAGUCGUGCUAAUACAUGCAUUUCGUGUUCUUGUCCAGGUACGCUUAACGUCGUCCAUGCAGGGAUCGGAAAGAAAAGAAAUUAAGGUAUUGUGUCGUCUGAACAGGUAUAAUACUACAGCAGUAAUAUAAUAGAGCUGGAGAUUGAGGUCGAGGACAAUCAUGGGUUUGCUAUGGCUCGCCUCGUGUCCUCGCAGCCGCGAAGCUUUGUCAGGACGUGGCUGUUGCCGUGGGAAAAAGAAAAGGCGUGGAUCAACCGAUCCAACAGCCCAAGGCAGCUCGGCAGCAGCAAUAUACAAGGGAAUCGAUCGAUGAAUGGCCUGAAAUAAGUGAAAAAAAGAACAGAAAAGAAACAGCUCCGCUCGAUCUGCGUGGUGCAUGUAUGUAUGUAUGUAUAUACGGUUGACAAUCGUACAUGCGUGCGUGGUAAAAACAAGGAGUAACGCGUCGCAGAGGAAUGGAAUGGCAGUUGUUUUUUUUCCUUGUUCGGGUUUGACAGUCUGAGCUGGUUAUCUUCAAAAAAAAACAGUCUGAGCUGGCUGUGCCCGGGGAGGAGAGAAGGAAAAG